Molecule: long non-coding RNA, 1358 nt
Filed under: Chrysemys picta bellii (western painted turtle)
Lineage: Eukaryota; Metazoa; Chordata; Testudines; Emydidae
Description: lncRNA (ENSCPBG00000007112.1)
Source: RNAcentral
UAUGUGGGCCAUGGACCCCCCAUCUAGCACUGAGGCCUACUCAAAUCAGAGCCUGUUUGAACCUGCACCAAGGCUGCUGUCACAGCUGUUGAUUCCUCCCAGGAGAAACCGCUGUGACUGGAAUAAAACCUGGCUCCCACUCAUUCCUGCUGGCCCACAGCAUUUAAGACAGGAGGGGGCUUGAGGACAGGGGCUGGCACAAGGCACGUGCCCUGGAGCAGCCUCACCUCUGCUAUAUGUUGGGCUGCUAUGUGUGGAGCACCGCAGCCUUCUUCCUGGGAAGUUCCUCCGCCAGCUAUGCUGAGUCUGGUCAGUCUGUGGCCUGUGAAGCCAAGCCACAUGCUGCCGCUUGAGUCCAGCUGCUGUUGUGGGAACCUGAGCCAGAAUAUGAGCAACGCUAUCACCUCCAAGCCUCUGCAAUGCCAGCAGCAGAGUGGCGUCCACUACCUGGGGCGAGGCUGUCGCCAGGCAGCCCUGGGGUGCAGCUCCUGGCUUCAAUAAGCUACAUGAGUUAGAAUCCUUUGAAAUGGUCAGCUGGCGGCAACAGAUGAUUCCUGAAUUCAAUCAAAAAGGAGCCAAUCAGAAGCACUCCAAAGUCAGUGUGGCUUCCCAGCUCUAUGCUGUGCUGUUGAGGAAAUUCGUUUAUCAGUUGGAGAUAGGUGAUCCUCUCUACUUCCAAGGACGUCUGCCUCUCUUCAGUCCAGCAAUCACAUCUAACUACAUGGCUAAUUUGUAAAUGGACACAGAGUCUCAAGUGCAAUGUCAGUGCUGCCAACUAACUUGGAUCAAACUGUGAUGUUUGAAAGGAGAGAAGUAACAAUUUAGUUAGCUGAAGGCAAAUUCUUAGCAGGAGACUUCAUCAUCUGCAUUCAGGUUUUUAUGUCACUGAUUUGAUAAUCAGGCCUUUUGUUCUAAGCAAGUUUCUCAUGUUAAAAUGGUCAACCAGUCAUUUUUCUUCUUUUUUCAGACUGAUGUUUAUUGAUACUUCGCAGUAACAGUAAAUAUGCAGUUUCCGUGAAUAGCCCUAUGUCCAGACAAAGGGAAUAGCUGACUUGAGUUUCUGGGUCACUAACUAUUCACAGAUUAGUGCUGUCAGCACCUGAUGGAUGAAGGGGGAGAUCUAUCAGAAUGGAUGUGAGUGGUUGCACUUCUGCUUUGUAAAUCAGGCGGGAAAUCCCAGUGUAAACUUAGCUCUUGCCUGAUACAAUAGGUAAAACAUCCCACGAAGAGCAGUGCCCCAAAGCUACAUUGUCCUUUUCUUGUUGUUGAUCAGAUCUCACAUGAUCUUUCCACUUGUUUGUCUGACGUUACACUAGUGAUGAGAGAUCCCAGCAUUUGUUAUUUAAAAGUCCCAAACC